GCCGCGCCUAGGCUGAUCCCCGAACCCCAGGCGCUCCCCCUGGCUGGCGCGGCACUCAUCAGGG
Molecule: small RNA, 64 nt
Filed under: Leptothrix cholodnii SP-6
Lineage: Bacteria; Pseudomonadati; Pseudomonadota; Betaproteobacteria; Burkholderiales; Sphaerotilaceae
Description: int-alpA RNA
Rfam family: int-alpA RNA
About the family: Acidobacteria (1 example), Planctomycetes (1 example), Proteobacteria.
Source: Rfam by way of RNAcentral